RNAcentral lists this long non-coding RNA (3140 nucleotides) under Citrus maxima (pomelo). RNAcentral describes it as "long non-coding RNA (CMAX_LNC002327)". Lineage: Eukaryota; Viridiplantae; Streptophyta; Magnoliopsida; Sapindales; Rutaceae. The record is from RNAcentral.
CUCCGUGCCAUUACUCAAAUUGAAGGCUUCACUAAUUUCUCUUCCCCAAAAAAAGAAGGAAAAGAGGGAGAAAAAAAAAGGACAAAAUGGGUUCAACCAGUUCAGAAACUCAAAUAAGUCCAGCCCAAGGCUCGGAUGAAGAGGCAAACCUCUUGGCCAUGCAAUUAACCAGUGCCUCAGUCUUGCCUAUGGUUCUCAAAUCAGCCAUUGAGCUUGAUCUUUUAGAGAUCAUAGCUAAAGCUGGGCCCGAUGCUUUCAUGUCUCCAAAAGACAUAGCUUCUCAGCUGCCCACAAAGAACCCAGAUGCCCAUAUCGUGCUUGAUCGUAUAUUGCGCCUUCUGGCGAGCUAUUCAGUCCUUAAUUGCUCUUUGCGCAAUCUCCCCGACGGCAAAGUUGAGAGGCUUUAUGGCCUUGCCCCCGUUUGUAAAUUCCUCACUAAAAAUGAAGAUGGUGUUACACUUUCCGAUCUUUGUCUCAUGAACCAAGACAAGGUUCUCAUGGAGAGCUGGUAAGUCAUUUUUAUUCCUUUUCUUUCUCUCUCUCUCUCUCUCUUUUAAGAACAGUUCAAAAAUUUAUCAAGUAAUAAUUUAAGACUAAUUUCUAUUCGAAUUAUUGAAUAAAAUAAAAGAUAAAAGAUAAAAGAUAAAAGAUAUGGCCUCUAUUGGGAGCUCUCCUCGAUGAGGAGAGCCCAACAUGGCCGUGAGUUCACCACAGCACAACUAAUGAAAGUCGCUUUUACUCAUCUCUAAUGUUCCAAUCUUUUCCUUGCGAUUAUUGAUGACCACUAAUAUUAAUUAUAUGUACAGAGUCUAAAUAUAUAUAUUUUGAUAUUCUGGUUGUAUGCAUUUUUAAGGUCCUGCUAAAUUACAGUUAUUAUAACUUACACUGGAUAUAAAAAUCAUACGAAUCCCAUCAUCUAUCAUAACAUUUUACAUGUUUUUAAAUGCAUUUUACAUGAUUUUAAAUGGGUUGUAAAUUAUAGUAGCUUUAAUUUAUCAAUUGCCGUAUUUUUAUCAUUUACGACAUGGCUUUCUUUUCACAUCAUCCGUUAGUUUUUAAAGUUUGAUCCCACAUAAUAUGACCUCAGAUUUUUUUUUUUAAUUUAAUAACAUUUUAAAGUUUCAUAAUGGUUCGUUUGACGACUUCGUCGGCUCGUAUCAUCCCUUGAUGCUUGCUAGUCAUUAUCAAAUACCUAACUCCAAUCAGCAAAAUCUAGAAUCUACGCAUCCCUAAUUUCUAAAAAAAAAUAUAUAUAUAUAUAGUAUUUACUAUACACGUGUAUUGUAUAUAGUACAAAAGGAGUGUUGGUGGGGGGUGGGGACCACCUGGUUCAGAUUUGGGCCCACCACUACACAGGCUUUCAGUCUUUCAUCACUGAAUUUUUAUUAUUUCGUUUUGUCUUCUCGCAAUAGAAUGCAUAUAAUUGUCAGCAUAUUCGUUCCAACCAAUUAUCAAAAGUAAACGAUAAAAAUGCUCUAAGAAAAUUGACAGCCGGACCCUACGGUUUUCUCAAAUGAACAAGCAAAGUCGCAAACCACAAAGUUUCUGUGGAGCGGUUAGGUAUUGAUUUUCAUCACUCAAUUUUAAAAAAACGUGUUUGGUAGGAUUUAAUAACAGCAUUUUUCUUUUCUGAAUGAAAACAAAUCAUAUUUAUUUUAUAAUACUAACAAAGAAAUUUAGAAAUAUAAAAUAUUUGUUCAUCACUUUAUUCAUGAGACCCACAUACUUUUAAAAUCAAAUUUUGGGUUCGGCACUAUUAUUAAUGCUCUUUUGCCUCUUUUUCUUUAUUUUUAUAUUUUCUUAUUUUUAAAAACUUCAAAUUGCACCUAUACUUAGUGAAAAGAUAAAAAAAAUUUGACAAUGGUUUGAUGAUUUUUGUUUUUUUUUUGUUUUCUUAACAAAAAUUAUAUAAUACUUUUUUCACUGCCUUCAAUGUUCAUAUAUUUUUAGAUAAAGAAUCAAAACAUUUUUAUUUUUAAAUACUAUUUAAAAAAUAAACUACCAAAACACAUUUUCAAAUUUACUAAGUAUUAAUCAUAUCUAUAUCAUAAAACAAAUACGAAGACAACAAUUAAAAAACAUUACCAAAUGCACCUUAAAAUAUUAUCUACACUCCUUUUUAUAUGCUAUUCCUUUUUGUAUAUUAUAUCUUUUAACGAGAAAAAUUAAAAAAAAGGAGAUUUUAGAGUUUUACAAUAAAUGUAAAUAUUAUUUUAAUAUUUUACUAUUAUAUUUUGAUUUAUAAACCAAAUAUUAAACAUAAAUAUUUGGUUUUACAUGUUUCGAUAUUUAGACAAUUUUCUAACAAAUUAAAAUUACCAAAUUAUUUUUGUUUAAUUUUCAAAAUAAUUUUAAAUUAUAGUUAUUUUAUUUAUUAUAUCUAUUUAAUAUAAUAAAUUUAUUUUUAUGUAACAUAAGAUGAUUGGUUGAAUGGUAAUAAUUAUUCUUAUUAUGAAAAUGUAGAGUUUUUUUUUUGUUAUUAGUCAAAGGGGUGAUAAUAGUUAAAAAAGAAAAGGUCUAUAUGAUUAUUUCUGAAAAUUUAGGGGAUUUUUGUUAAGUGUCAUUUUCCCUAAAUAAUAUCUUUUAAUUGAGCUUUCGUACAUUAAAAGGAUGUACCAUAUAAAGCUUUUCAUGGUCAAAUAAAGAAUAAUGAAUAAUAUACGCCAUUUUAAGAAAGGGCACUUUCAUCAAUUGGGUGGGUAUAUAUUUGUUUAUCAGAGUAAUUUAUAAGAAUAAAAUAAGAAGAGGAUAAUAUUAUUACAGGGUAAUUAUCCAGAUCCGGUAUUGGGAAUCAACAACAUUGCUCACAAAUUAAUUUGGCAUUGUUCAGGUACUACUUAAAAGAUGCAGUGCUUGAAGGUGGCAUUCCAUUUAACAAGGCCUAUGGGAUGAAUGCAUUCGAUUACCAUGGCAAAGAUCUAAGAUUCAACAAGAUUUUCAACAAUGGAAUGUCUUCUCAUUCUACCAUUACCAUGAAGAAAAUUCUUGAAAAUUACAAAGGGUUUGAAGGCCUCAACUCAGUUGUCGACGUUGGUGGUGGAAUUGGAGCCACACUUAACAUGAUUAUCUCCAAGUAUCCAUCCAUUAAAGGCAUUAACUUUGAUUUGCCACAUGUUAUUCAGGAUGCUCCAGCUUUUCCU